UUAUGAGUCACAUUAUAAAAUGACUAAACUGACGGAUUAUAGAAAUUAUUGAACACUAUUAAAAUAUCAUGAUAAUCUAUCAUACAGUAAAUGAUGAGAGGGAAUACAAAAGAAAAUAGAUAGCACCGUAUUUUAUAUUCAGGCUUCGUGGAUACUUUGAAAUCAUUUUAAAUCUGGAAGGAGGUUAUACGAAGCUGGUCUUGGAGCCAGAAGACGCAGAUCAUGGGCAAACGAUCACCAUCCAUGGAUUGCAGCCAAAUGGAGUAAUUAUUUGGUGAUAUGGUUGUUCUGUAACUGUUUGGGCUGGAAUUUCUUUAUAGACACCCACGAAAUUGCUCCUAUUAAACUAAUA
Molecule: long non-coding RNA, 352 nt
Organism: Aethina tumida (small hive beetle)
Lineage: Eukaryota; Metazoa; Arthropoda; Insecta; Coleoptera; Nitidulidae
Exons: 3
Source: RefSeq, a predicted model, not a curated record